RNAcentral lists this unclassified non-coding RNA (296 nucleotides) under Hevea brasiliensis (rubber tree). The record is from RNAcentral. Lineage: Eukaryota; Viridiplantae; Streptophyta; Magnoliopsida; Malpighiales; Euphorbiaceae.
UCCCUAUGACCCGGCGCCGAUGGAUCUGUCCGGCUGGUACGAGGUCUAUCUUUCCGGCAAGUGGUACACGUUCGAUGCGCGUCACAACAAGCCGCGGAUCGGCCGCAUCCUGUUGGGGAUCGGCCGCGAUGCCGCAGACGUUGCAAUCUCGACGACCUUCGGGCAGAUGGUGCUGAACAAGUUCGUCAUCGUGAGUGACGAGGUUAUGGAAUCCAAGGCCAGCUAGUGAUCCGGUUCUGACAUUCGUAUCAUUUCCCGGCCGACACCUUUUACGAAUGUCAGAACCAAAGGAUCAC